AAUAAUUUACCCAGAACCACCCUAACCCUACCUUCUUCCUCUUUUUAACCAAAAGAACCCUAGGCCUAAAACCUCACCACCUACCGUCAUCUCUUCUUCUUCAACCAAGACCACAUAAAAAAAUCUUAAUCCCUUAACACAAUACACAAUCGCCGAACCACUAGUAGCCGCCAUCUCAAAUCCACUCCAUUUCAUCAAAAAAUAACACCAGCAAUUACUUCCCUUAUCUCUUCGAGACCAACUGCUCACCACCGCCACCCAAGACCCGCCAGAAACCAACUAGACCAUCCUUUUCAUCACGACAAUAACCAGCCUGACUUCAUCCCAUCUACCUCAUCUCACUGUUGAGAUGAACUCGCUGGAAAAACACACCCCUGAACCCUAUCCCUCAUCUUCUUCAUCUUCCAUCUUCAACCACAAAACAACACCAGAAACCCCUUCUUCAACCGAACAGACCUAAGAUAAUGCUAAACCAGACAUUCUGCCACCAUCGCACCACUAUCUGACAACCUUUGAGGUCACAAGCACUCUUCAACACCACGACUAAAACACAUCCCGACAACCUUACUUCAGCCACGACGCACACACACGCACAAUAUCAAAAACAAUAGAGGCAGGGAGCGAUAAAACAAGUAGGACAGAAUCUAGGAGCGAAAGAAGAAAAUAAUUUACAGUUUAGUUCUUGAUUCAAGUUUUAUUUUCCAUUUUUAAAAGUCAAAAAAACAAAAAAAACACAAGGGUUCCAUUUCUUUCGCCUGAAUUUCUGCCUGAAAUGGAGUUUAUUUGAUUGAGCCGAGUUUGUUUGAGGUUGCGUUCAGAUUUCAUUUGUUGUUCGGUCCGUGUUUACUGUUUGCAGUUUGAUCAUCAUGUUCAAUUCCGAUUCAUUGGUCUGUUGCUUGGACAAUUUUCU
Molecule: long non-coding RNA, 910 nt
Filed under: Nicotiana benthamiana
Lineage: Eukaryota; Viridiplantae; Streptophyta; Magnoliopsida; Solanales; Solanaceae
Description: long non-coding RNA (NBEN_LNC021534)
Source: RNAcentral